GCCUUUCUAGUAUAAAAAGUACAUUUGACUUCCAAUCAAAAAGAUUGAUUAAUGAAUUCAAGAAAGACA
RNAcentral lists this transfer RNA (69 nucleotides) under Pollostacris sp. OR322. RNAcentral's name for it is "tRNA-Gly". The record is from RNAcentral. Lineage: Eukaryota; Metazoa; Arthropoda; Insecta; Orthoptera; Acrididae.